Molecule: ribosomal RNA, 597 nt
Filed under: uncultured bacterium
Lineage: Bacteria
Description: bacterial SSU rRNA
Rfam family: Bacterial small subunit ribosomal RNA
Source: RNAcentral
GAGCCCGCGUCCCAUUAGCUAGUUGGUGAGGUAACGGCUCACCAAGGCGUCGAUCGGUAGCCGGCCUGAGAGGGUGAUCGGCCACACUGGAACUGAGACACGGUCCAGACCGCUACGGUGGGCAGCAGUACGGAAUAUUGCGCAAUGGGCGAAAGCCUGACGCGGCAACGCCGCGUGAAGGAUGAAGGCCUUCGGGUUGUAAACUUCUGUCAGGAGGGACGAUGGGACAUUUAUGUCUUGACGGUACCUCCAGAGGAAGCCCCGGCUAACUCCGUGCCAGCAGCCGCGGUAAUACGGAGGGGGCAAGCGUUGCUCGGAAUUACUGGGCGUAAAGGGUCCGCAGGCUGUCAGGCAAGUUGGUUGUGAAAGCUCAAGGCUUAACCUUGGAAUUGCAUCCAAAACUGCCUGACUAGAGUCCAAGAGAGGUUGGCGGAAUUCCCGGUGUAGCGGUGAAAUGCAUAGAUAUCGGGAGGAACACCAGAGGCGAAGGCGGCCAACUGGCUUGGAACUGACGCUCAGGGACGAAAGCGUGGGUAGCAAACCGGAUUAGAUACCCGGGUAGUCCACGCCCUAAACGAUGGAUGCUAGGUGCCGGAG